This 243-nucleotide small RNA is filed under the name Pelobates cultripes (western spadefoot toad). The record is from RNAcentral. Lineage: Eukaryota; Metazoa; Chordata; Amphibia; Anura; Pelobatidae.
GUGAGGGGGUUACUAGUGACAGAGUGAGGGAAGGGGUGACUAGUGGCAGAGUGAGGGAAGGAAGGGGUGACUAGUGACAGAGUGAGGGAGGUGGUGACUGUUACUAGUCACCACCUCCCUCUGUCACUACUCCCUCCCUCCUGUCACUACUCCCUCCCUUCUUCUGUCACUAGUCACCCCUCCCUCACUCUGUCACCAGUCAUCCCCUCCCUCACUCUGUCACCAGUCAUCCCCUUCCCUCAC